Long non-coding RNA from Phyllostomus discolor (pale spear-nosed bat), 79 nucleotides. RefSeq lists it as uncharacterized. The transcript is spliced from 3 exons. The record is from RefSeq and is a predicted model, not a curated record. Lineage: Eukaryota; Metazoa; Chordata; Mammalia; Chiroptera; Phyllostomidae.
UGCGGGGACCCUCGGUGCGCACCAUGGUCAGGAUGGUGCCCAGCACGCCGCGGUACUGGAUACUGGCUCCUGCCCUCCC